Molecule: ribosomal RNA, 253 nt
Filed under: uncultured bacterium
Lineage: Bacteria
Description: partial 16S ribosomal RNA
Rfam family: Bacterial small subunit ribosomal RNA
Source: RNAcentral
CACGUAGGGCGCAAGCGUUGUCCGGAAUUAUUGGGCGUAAAGAGCUCGUAGGCGGUCUGUUGCGUCCGCUGUGAAAACCCGGGGCUUAACCCUGGGCUGGCAGUGGAUACGGACAGACUAGAGGUAGGUAGGGGAGAAUGGAAUUCCCGGUGUAGCGGUGAAAUGCGCAGAUAUCGGGAGGAACACCGGUGGUGUAGACGGCUUUCUGGACCGUAACUGACGCUGAGACACGAAAGCGUGGGUAGCAAACAGG